Long non-coding RNA from Dromaius novaehollandiae (emu), 2718 nucleotides. RefSeq lists it as uncharacterized. Lineage: Eukaryota; Metazoa; Chordata; Aves; Casuariiformes; Dromaiidae. The record is from RefSeq and is a predicted model, not a curated record. The transcript has 3 exons.
GCCUCAACCCAAAGACCUGACCAGAUGGAACAAAACAGCCUGGCAGUCACGUAGGCACAGUCUGGACUCGACAGUGGUUAUCAGCUGGAGUUACAAACAGCACAGAAUGGAAGGGAGUGAAAGAAAGAAGAUGGGAAGAUAAGUGGGACUUACAUGCAAGAACUAAUUACCCCUCUACUGCUAUGCUGUGUUCCUUUGAAAGCAGGAAUCACCAGGAGCUCUGGAAGGAGGAGACGUCACUGGUGCACUGACAGCCGCCAGACCUGCUGAGGCCAGAACGAGGCGCAGGGAGAGGCAGGGAGCGUGUGAGCUCUGCAGGGCAGAGCAGCCAGGACUGAGGGGCUGCCAGGGACAGCAGGGAGUGGAGAGUGCACACAGGCAAUCUUCCAAUGCGGUGGAAAAUGCAGCUCUUCCUAGGCCCCGAGGGACCUGGAAAGCCUGGGAAAGAGGGUCCUGCAGCCAGGAACUGAUGUCAACACCUGGAACAAGGCACUGGGGGCAAGCCUGGAAGAGCAGUGAGUGGGCGACACAGGAAUGCAGACUGCGUGUGGCUUCCUUAUCUUCCCGGCCUGAACCAGCUCUGAGGCACUUUUCUUACUAAACUAAGUAAAGGAAGAAGACAAGGAGCUGAUGUGAUUAUGGAAGACAGACGACCUUGGUUUCUUUUUCCAGCUAGUAAGAAAAGACAUCACCAGCAGACCUAGUUCAAAUACCAACAGCAGGAAUCUGUGCUGGCAGAGGCUUUAGCAUGGGCUAUAAAAGCUGAGCAGGAGGCAUAUGCUGCCACAAAGCCUAAAAACUCUGGUACAGCUGUGGGCACUUCGUGAACACCAUGCAGGUGCAGUCACAAGGGUAACAGUAGUGCAGACAUAGCAAAAGAUUUGGCUACUUCAGGGAGAAAUGAUGGGACUGAUUCCAGGUACAAAAGGCAGGGCCUCUCACAGUGAAGGCAAAGUUUGCCAGGGACAAGAUGUUAUGCCCAGACUGGCAGUCCAGGUCAGUGUCUCUGAUGGUUUGGAUUCAGCUCCUCGGAAGCAGAAUCCCUCAUGACUGUCCCAAACUGGUGGGCUCGAGGUUCCCAGACUCAGCUGUGUGUCUCCAGGAUGUCCCAGUUUCAUAACAGGAUGAGAGCUACAGCAUAAACCAGCCUUCUUGUUCUCUCUGCCUGACCUGUGAACAGCAAAAAGAGGCUGUCACACUCCAGUGAGGUUCCCAGUCUGGAGGCUCAGAGCAUCAACGUGUGAGACUUGCAGGACACACUCUGGCCACUCAACCUGGAUACAACCUCAAGACCUGAUGUGCACACCAAGUGGAACAUUGUUCUUUUCCAGUUACAUCUAUAUUUCUCCGAAUUACACAUAAUGGACGCUUUUCUCUUCUUUUGGCUGAACUGGGCAAUUUGUUGUAUUUUUUACUACUAAUACAUGCAUAUACACACCACGUAGGCAGCUAUUGUCCUGCUGUCAGGCUGGACGUGUGCUUGGAAGUGAAGCCUUUCAGGCUUGUUAUAGAUUCAGACAUCUCUUUACCCAGAUGUUGCCUGCGGUCUUGGAAAUAAUCAUGUCUUUCAGUAGGGACAUAAUUCUUAGCUGAAUAAAAAUCACUCAGCACUUUAAUGAGACCAUUACUAUCUUCCCUUCUUCCACAAGGUCUUUCAGUAAGAGAAACAACUUUGAUCUACCUCCUAAGAGAAACGUGUUGUGUGCCUUGAGUUAUGGAUCUAUCUUACUGGGUACUCUCCCUCCACCAAACUCUAGCUUCACCAGCACUCUGGUUCCCCUGAAGAAAGUCUGUGCCUCUUCUCUUCCUCUUCCUCUGCCUCCUGCCCUCCCACCCCCCCCACCCCCCCGCCCCGGCACAUGCCCUUCUGAUGAAGCUGUGGCUCCUGAAGGACUUUUGAGGAAGAGGCCCUUUAAAAUGGCACCCUCUCUGCACUCAGACAAUUAUGUUCCUGAAAAAGAGACUAAUUUAAACUGUGCUGGCACAUAUGGAGUCUUCCCAAACAGCUCUACCCAAAGGGAUCCACCUAGGAGGCCUAUAACAACCUGCUAGAAAUACUCCGAGCAUCCAGACAAAAAGGUACCUGGGAGGAAGAUACUGUAGCCACAUAGCUUUUAAGAACCAAUUAACCCUUUGCAGAUAGAACUUCAGUUUACUGUUACAAAUGAUUUAUGAUAAUCAGAUUAUUUUUCCAUGCAUAAAUUUAAUCCUGUUACUUCUAAUUAUGCCCUAGUGUGCAACACUAAACAAAUCCCAUCUUUUUGUUACAUAUACCCUCCGAGAAACUUAUUAUGUUCCCUCUCAAGACAUUAUGCAUAAGUAUCUCUUUUAAUCAUUCCUUGCCUUCAGCCCCUCCAGACCUUAAUUAUUUCUGCUCCCUCUUAAUGUAUUGCAAUGAAUUUGAUACUGAAUGGACUACAACUACUUCACUGGGUGUUUUAGGCCCUAAAAUGUAAGCAUAAGUCAUUAAAUAUUUUUCAGGUAACCAUUUUAUGGAAAUCUUUUUAUUUUUUGUAAAUUGAAAUAUUCCUGACAGGUCUCUGUUUCUUCACAAUAUGGAAGAUUUGUAUCAUGACACAGCAAGACUCAACAUGAUAAUUUUUGUCAAAAAUAUGAUUUGUUGCUCUUAUCAGCACUUUGACACCAAAGAGAAUGUAUUUCCAUAAUUGCAGAUUUUUUAUUAUAAAAAGUUCAAAUUUUCUGCUGAAGAUUUUGAUA